CCUACGGGUGGCAGCAGUGGGGAAUAUUGCACAAUGGGGGAAACCCUGAUGCAGCGACGCCGCGUGAGGGAGGAAGUAUUUCGGUAUGGAAAGCCCUAUCAGCAGGGAAGAAAAUGCCGGUACCUGUCUAAGAAGCACCGUCUAACUAGGUGCCAGCAGCCGCGGUAAUACGUAGGGGGCAGGGGUUAUCCGGAUUAACUGGGUGUAAAGGGAGCGUAGACGGCUAAUCAAGUCAGAAGUGAAAACCCAGGGCUCAACUUUGGGACUGCUUUUGAAACUGAGUAGCUAGAGUGCAGGAGAGGUAAGCGGAAUUCCUGGUGUAGCGGUGAAAUGCGUAGAUAUUAGGAGGAACACCAGUGGCGAAGGCGGCUUACUGGACUGUAACUGACGUUGAGGCUCGAAAGCGUGGGGAGCAAACAGGAUUAGAUACCCGGGUAGUC
This 440-nucleotide ribosomal RNA is filed under the name uncultured bacterium. Its description in RNAcentral is "partial 16S ribosomal RNA". It matches the Rfam family "Bacterial small subunit ribosomal RNA", at positions 338 to 795 of the family's 1533-position model. The record is from RNAcentral.